This 73-nucleotide transfer RNA is filed under the name Bacteroidota bacterium. Its description in RNAcentral is "Bacteroidetes bacterium (marine metagenome) tRNA-Thr". It matches the Rfam family "tRNA". Rfam says of the family: Transfer RNA (tRNA) molecules are approximately 80 nucleotides in length. Their secondary structure includes four short double-helical elements and three loops (D, anti-codon, and T loops). Lineage: Bacteria; Pseudomonadati; Bacteroidota. The record is from RNAcentral. RNAcentral also lists the same sequence under 1 other name.
GCCGGUGUAGCUCAGUUGGUAGAGCCCCGGAUUUGUAAUCCGGUGGUCAAGGGUUCGAGUCCCUUCGCCGGCU